GGACUACACGGGUAUCUAAUCCUGUUUGAUCCCCGCACUUUCGUGCCUCAGCGUCAGUUAUAGUUUCGUUAGCUGCCUUCGCAAUCGGUGUUCUAUGACAUAUCUAAGUAUUUCACCACUACAUGUCAUAUUCCGCCAACGUCAUCUAUACUCUAGACCUGCAGUAUCAAUGGCAGUUUCUCAGUUAAGCUGAGAGAUUUCACCACUGACUUACAGGUCCGCCUACGCACCCUUUAAACCCAAUGAAUCCGGAUAACGCUUGCAUCCUUCGUCUUACCGCGGCUGCUGGCAC
RNAcentral lists this ribosomal RNA (292 nucleotides) under uncultured Bacteroidota bacterium. Its description in RNAcentral is "uncultured Bacteroidetes bacterium partial 16S ribosomal RNA". Lineage: Bacteria; Pseudomonadati; Bacteroidota. The record is from RNAcentral.